Long non-coding RNA from Tympanuchus pallidicinctus (lesser prairie-chicken), 1072 nucleotides. RefSeq lists it as uncharacterized. The record is from RefSeq and is a predicted model, not a curated record. The transcript has 10 exons. Lineage: Eukaryota; Metazoa; Chordata; Aves; Galliformes; Phasianidae.
GUGUGCCGGUGAAGGUUAGUGGGCAGGCCAAGUUAGUGCGCCGUCCGAGGCUAGUUGAUAAGCUCAGUUAGCGCGCCGGUGGAGGUUAGUGGGCAGGCCAAGUUAGUGCGCCGGCAGAGGCUAGUUGAUAAGCUAAGUUAGCGCACCGGUGGAGCUUAGUGGGCAGGCCAAGUUAGUGCGCCGGCAGAGGUUAGUGGGCAGGCCAAGUUAGUGCGCCGGCAGAGGCUAGUUGAUAAGCUAAGUUAGCGCACCGGUGGAGGUUAGUGGGCAGGCCAAGUUAGUGCGCCGGCGGAGGCUAGUUGAUAAGCUAAGUUAGCGCGCCAGUGGAGGUUAGUGGGCAGGCCAAGUUAGUGCGCCGGCAGAGGGUAGUUGAUAAGCUAAGUUAGCGCGCCGGUGGAGGCUAGUUGAUAAGCUAAGUUAGCGCACCGGUGGAGGUUAGUGGGCAGGCCAAGUUAGUGCGCCGGCGGAGGCUAGUUGAUAAGGUAAGUUAGUGUGCCGGUGAAGGUUAGUGGGUAGGCCAAGUUAGUGCGCCGGCGGAGGCUAGUUGAUAAGCUAAGUUAGCACGCCGGUGGAGGUUAGUGGGCAGGCCAAGUUAGUGCGCCGGCAGAGGGUAGUUGAUAAGCUAAGUUAGCGCGCCGGUGGAGGUUAGUGGGUAGGCCAAGUUAGUGCGCCGGCGGAGGUUAGUGGGCAGGCCAAGUUAGUGCGCCGGCGGAGGCUAGUUGAUAAGGUAACUUAGUGUGCCGGUGGAGGUUAGUGGGCAAGCCAAGUUAGUGCGCCUUCGGAGGCUAGUUGAUAAGCUAAGUUAGCGCGCCGGUGGAGGUUAGUGGGCAGGCCAAGUUAGUGCGCUGGCGGAGGCUAGUUGAUAAGGUAAGUUAGUGCGCCGGUGGAGGUUAGUGGGCAGGCCAAGUUAGUGCGCUGGUGGAGGUUAGAGCACAGGCCAAGUUAGUGCGCCGGUGGAGGCUAGUUGAUAAGCUAAGUUAGCGCGCCGGUGGAGGUUAGUGGGCAGGCCAAGUUAGUGCACCGGUGGAGACUAGUUGAUAAGGUAAUUGAGCGAGCGGGCGGAGGACAGUGG